CGGUUCUCUAAUUUGACUCAGCUUCAGAUUGGAAUGUUUCUCUCCUCACUGGGAAAAGCUCCUUUGGUCUCAGUGAACUCAGAGGUGGAGAAAGUCAUAAGAAUCAGGGAGCCUGCCCCAAAUUGCCUCCUAUGAUAACUUUCCACAAAGACUGGAGGGGAGGCUUCAAACAUCUUCCUGCAGUGUCCAGCAAGACAGCGAGGCAGACUCCCUUUCUCCUGCCAAAGCCACGUGGAGCCAGACAGAACCACAAGCAUACCUGUGGUGCUUGGAGGCCCAAGUAGAAACUUGAAUGCUCACGGCUGCAUUGGCAGCUUCUACUUGCCUGCCUGGAUCACCGUUCCUCAUGAGAACUUGGAAAAGCAGGACUAUCAUUCUUGCUUGACAGACGAAGAAACCAAGCCUCAGAAAAAGCUGGCAAUGAGAAUAGAAGAAUUGCAAACAAUGUAGCAGGCCCUUGCCAAGAUUUAAAUACAGAAGAAACAUUCAAAAGGACGGUAUCAAAUUAUCUGCAAAGAUGAAGAAAGUAAUGACUUACGUUCUCCAUCCUCUGGCUGGGUGACUCACCAAAGUGGAAAAUGAAGCACUUGGAGAUUAAAGGUACCCCCAGAAAGAGGGGGAAAGGGAUGGGCUCUGGAGAAGCCAAUCCAGUUACAAGUUAACAUGCCACAGGAACAUCUGUGAUGGAAGGUGGCAGCUAAAUGCUUCGUGUCUCUUUGUGUUCUCCAG
RNAcentral lists this long non-coding RNA (729 nucleotides) under Homo sapiens (human). Its description in RNAcentral is "HSALNT0079589". The record is from RNAcentral. Lineage: Eukaryota; Metazoa; Chordata; Mammalia; Primates; Hominidae.